This 468-nucleotide ribosomal RNA is filed under the name uncultured bacterium. RNAcentral's name for it is "partial 16S ribosomal RNA". It matches the Rfam family "Bacterial small subunit ribosomal RNA", at positions 28 to 507 of the family's 1533-position model. The record is from RNAcentral.
GACGAACGCUGGCGGCGUGCUUAACACAUGCAAGUCGAACGGAAAGGCCCUGCUUUUGUGGGGUGCUCGAGUGGCGAACGGGUGAGUAACACGUGAGUAACCUGCCCUUGACUUUGGGAUAACUUCAGGAAACUGGGGCUAAUACCGGAUAGGAGCUCCUGCUGCAUGGUGGGGGUUGGAAAGUUUCGGCGGUUGGGGAUGGACUCGCGGCUUAUCAGCUUGUUGGUGGGGUAGUGGCUUACCAAGGCUUUGACGGGUCGCCGGCCUGAGAGGGUGACCGGCCACAUUGGGACUGAGAUACGGCCCAGACUCCUACGGGGGGCAGCAGUGGGGAAUAUGGCACAAUGGGCGGAAGCCUGAUGCAGCAACGCCGCGUGCGGGAUGACGGCCUUCGGGUUGUAAACCGCUUUCGCCUGUGACGAAGCGUGAGUGACGGUAAUGGGUAAAGAAGCACCGGCUAACUACGUG